This is a non-coding RNA of Caretta caretta (loggerhead turtle), 1543 nucleotides long. The record is from RefSeq and is a predicted model, not a curated record. NCBI's taxonomy places the organism in Eukaryota, Metazoa, Chordata, Testudines, Cheloniidae.
ACAGAUGAUCAUCUGGGAAUACAACUAGAUGUGAAUAGGAAGCCUCUGCAGAGUUUGGGACAGAGGUGUAUUUGCACAUGUUGACUUUCCUCAAAAAAAUCAUAGAAUAUCAGGGUUUUGAAGGAAUGAAAGCAACAGUAUUAGGAGUUAUCCCCCCAUUGUGAGGAUUUUCCAAGCAUGUAAAUAAGGGACAUACCAGUUCAGGAAUCACUUCUGCAAUACAGCCAAUUCCAGAGGGAGCAGAGCAGCUGUUUAAUAAAGCACAUCAACAUCACAGAAUGGUGAAGAACAGGAAAUAAAGAUACAUGUUUUAGGUUGUCCUCCUUGCAGAUCAAAAGACCCGACUUACAAAAGUUAGUCUCAAUUUAAGAAGCAGCAGCAAAAAAAGUGUGUUUCUUCAAGACCAUCACAUUACCUGACACCCGAACUAGCCGGGGUGUCAGGAUUAGCAGAACAUGGCAAUGGUGAUGGCAACAGGAUUAAGCAGCAACCCUAAUGGUAUUGAACAGUGAGCAGAAAGCUACUUUGCACAGCAUGUUCGACGGCAGAUGAGCCUUGCUGAGUUCUUACAACUGAGCACCCCUCAGAGGUCUUUGAGAUUCCAACCAGCAUUGGAAGUGACAGCCCAGAUAACACAGCUGCCUGCGGUGAUCACAAAAGAGCGAGAUGCAGCCUCCAAAUCCCAGGGCUGAUUCUACAUUAGCCUCUGACCUGGGCUACUUUACAGUGCACCAUCCGACUGUGGCCCCUGGAGGGCAAUGCAUCAGCUGAGAAUAACCAGAGUGCUAAGUGCUCUAGGAGCACCUGGACGUGCCACCCCUCUGGCAGAAUGUGCUGCACUGAUCAUCUUAAUUCCAGGACUGAUGUAUACAAAGUUUGUACUAAAAUGCUAUAAAUAAAGUGAAAACUGCACCAAUAGGCAAUUCAGUGAUUUAAAUGCUCAUGUCAAAGUAUCCCCAAGAUUUUCAGUAAAAUUUUUUAAACUUUGAGUUGAAAAAGUCUUUGACUAAAUAACUGAUGUUUGCUGGCCCCUAGGGUGGUCCUAAUACAGAGAACACUCACAUUUCAUUACCUAAAGUAGCCAUAGGAUUUCAAUGUUUUUCUACAUAAAAACCACCUGAAAAAAUAUUAAUCUGCUAUUCAAAAUUACUGAAAUUCCAAACAAAGGAGGCUUGGAUAUGAAAUUUUCAUGAAAUAAUAACCAUAGCGAGUGCUUCUCAUCAGUAGGUCUCAAAAUGCUUUGCGAAAGAGGUCAUAGAUGCGGAAACCAAGGCACAGAGAAACAAUGUGACUUGCUCAAGGUCACCCAGCGAUCCAGUGGAAGAGCCAGGAAUAGAACCCAUGUCUCUUGAUAUCCGGUCAAUAUGUACACUAGGCAACACCACUCUCCCUCCACUACCCACCAAUUUUCUAACUAUAGUGAAAAGAAGAAAAAUACCAAUGAACUGACCAAAAGCAAAUUACUUCCUUGUUCAAACUAUAGAUAUAAAUCUGGAAACUCAGUGUUACUUUUUGGUGAUUGUGCUCUGUUAAAAUAUUUAUA